CAGAAGUAACAGAAGCGUUAGAGGUCCGACUCGCGGCAGGCUCCUCGGGUUGUUCGUAGUCACAGCACGUACCUCGGUGUUUAUUUUGUGUGGAGUCAUACUUCCAGGGUCCUGAACAGGGCCCGUGGAUAUAAGACGGACCAGCUGGAUUUGAGGAUGAGCACGAACCUCCUAACUCACACCCUGCCUUUUUGGCAACCGAGCGGCUUUCUGAAACGGAGGAAAACCCCAAGAACCAUCUUCGCGUUCCCAAUGGGGACUCUUGUAGGGAUGUGCCCACAGGCAGUGGGAUUUCAGGGCGCCUCCAGGAAGCUGGAGCAGCGCACGGCUGCGCUUGGUGCGAGCUGUGCCCCUCUCACCCCAGGUACCCCAGCCGGGCUCCCCGUGCUGCUCCCAUAAAAGCUUCUUUUUUUUUCCACCUGGAAACUUCCCGGCACCGCUCACCCCGCAGCAGCUCCUUACAGGGAGUUUACCCAGGAAAAGAAAUAGAUGCAAAACUUCACGAGGGACUGCCUGCCCCCCUUCCAUUUUGUGCUGUGCAAAAUGCAGAGGAAGAAGAAAACGUACCAGCAAGUGAGGAAAAGUUUGCGGUUGGAUCCCGUUCUCACCAAAGCCCCGGCGAGCUGGACGUGAUGCUCUGACUGCAUUUCUCUUACAUCUCGGUUGUCCAAGUAGCUCUGUGGAGGGGGCUCCUGUCCAAACAGCUCCCCAGAAGUGGCUUCUGUCCAAGCAGCUCCAUGGCAAACUACGGGACUAAAGUGAGCAGCUUUCCUCUGGAUUUGACUUCAGCUUUCCAGAAAUCCGUGGCACGUAGGUGCAGCAUCCUAAUUCAGAUUUGUAGGAACACAGCAUGGUGUGUAAAAGCAGGCGGCUCUGUAGGAAAUCAGACAUCCACCCUUCACUCCCCUUGCACUUCACUGGGCAGAGAGCUCUGCUUACUGGUCUGUGCUGGGUUUUGUGCUGGGUUUGUUUUUGGUGCUCUCCAUCCUGCUGGUCCACAGCUGCACCCUGUCGUACCUGGUGUGGUUUCAGCCACUCUGCACCUCAGGCUCCUGACGCUUAACAAGGGAAAACAUUGAUACCUGUUUCAUCAGUGCUGGGAAGAUUAAAUGCAUUCAGAACUAGGGGAGUGCUCAGAUUUUGCUGUCGGCUGAAAUCACAGGCUUCUUGUUUUCCAAACCAGCUGGAGAAGAGGCUGCUCUGUCCUCUGGGGAGAGGAGCCAGGUUUUGGGAGUGCCUCCGAAGACAGACACCCUGGCUGCUGAAAUGGCAUGUGUCAGCAGAAAACAGGAGGGGAAACUUUCUGUAGAACCUGUUAGUACCGAGAACGUAAGCCCCUGGGGCAAGGUCUAGCUCUAUUUUUGUGUCCGCAGAUCAUCUGCUGCUAUUUCAGGUACUAACUUAGCAAUGCCUCCUACUGCACUCCUGCCACAGAGGCAAAUACAUUAGCAAAUCCCCAGGCUUGUGCACUAAAGAGCA
Long non-coding RNA from Anas platyrhynchos (mallard), 1479 nucleotides. RefSeq lists it as uncharacterized. Lineage: Eukaryota; Metazoa; Chordata; Aves; Anseriformes; Anatidae. The record is from RefSeq and is a predicted model, not a curated record.